RNAcentral lists this long non-coding RNA (759 nucleotides) under Cavia porcellus (domestic guinea pig). RNAcentral describes it as "lncRNA (ENSCPOG00000036503.1)". Lineage: Eukaryota; Metazoa; Chordata; Mammalia; Rodentia; Caviidae. The record is from RNAcentral.
GAUCCCGGUAAGGGCCUCCUUCCAGGUUGCAGACAGCUGACUUAUUACUGUGUUCUCAAGUGAAUAGAGCCUCUAGAGUCUCCAUUACAAGGGCACUAAUCUCCACCCUCAUGGUCUAAUCACAUCACAAAGCCUCCACUUCCUAAUGCCAUCCCACGAGGGGUCAGAAUCUCAACAUAUGAAUUAGCAGUGGUACAUCUGUGAUGUUCUCCUCAGGAAUGUCUUCUCUGUACUCCAUAUCAACCUUCAUCUUCCAGCUGGCUUCCCCAGCCUCAUUCUUCUGGUGGCAGAGAUCCAAGAGAGAAUAGCAUUGGAUCUGGCCUCCUCGUCUGGCAAUUGUUGCACAAUCAUGUGCUCUGUAUGUUAGUGGUCCAAGCCAUUCUCCUAGGCGCAAACUCAGAGGAUGAAGAAAUAGAGUCCAUCACUGGACAGAACUUCCUGCAAAAUCACACACUGGUGUGAUAAAGGAAGAAUAAUGGAUCAGAACUACUACUCAGGAAGUCUCCCAUGAACCGGGAUGGGAUUGGCUACUCAUGUGGGAUCACUUCUGACCUGGGACACAAAGCACAGGCACUGAACUCACUACUGAAAUAUGAAGAUUUCUCCAGAUUUAUGGAAACCAGAACUGAAAUAAUAAUUGAUUGGAUCCUUGUCUACCUCACUGAAUUUCCUAAAACUGAUCUCCUGCUUUUGCGGGUGGACCAUUCUGGAUCCUGCAUUAAUGUGUGCUGCCUACAGAUACUAUUUACCUCUGCCUAA